GCUCACGUGAGGCCUGAGUCAGAGGGAUGCAGGUCCUUAAAUCCACUGCUGGGGGCCCUGCUCGCAGAGACGAACAGCAGGGGGUUGCAGCGCAUCGAAGGGGGCUCUCCAAGAGGCGUUCAAAGAGACCCACAUUCGGAAACCCUCGGCAGCUCCCUGCAGCAGCACCCAAGGGAGGAGAUCUCGAAGCACCACGGGGUUUGACUCUCGUGUCGUGCAGUUCCAGGUGGUACCGACCGCCGGCAGGGGAGGGACCCAGGACUAGUCUCCUGGAGGUUUCUUUACUUUGCCUUUCCCAAACAAGCGCUGCUGCGUUCCUUGACCUUGGGAGCGGGAAGCCACUUUCAGCAGAAGCCAGAGAGAGCCGGAUAGCGCUCUGGGGGAGAAGCAAGAGGGUGGGCUGGGGAAGGAGGAGGCCCUUCCUUGCGAGUUUCAAUUUCCAAACAGCUGGGGUCUGCAGAGACCGGGACUCUGCAGGCGGGAGGCACGGGGGAAGCCGGAAAGGAAGCUGCUCACCAUGGGUGCAACAGACGAGGGGGCUACUGUGUCAGCCCCCCAAAGGCGCGGAGGAGAUAAUGGACCAGCCGGCCGAACAAGUGCACCCAGAGGAAGAGCUGGAUCCAGAACUGGAAGUCGAAAUCUGAGCCUUCCUCAAUCCCACGAAGGUCGCCGGGUCUGAGCUCCAUGCCGCCGCCCCCGGUGACGCAGACCUCGGCUCCUGGCCGCCGGGAUCCUGACUCAGGCUGCCCUCCUUAUCUACGCCACCCGAGGUUCCCCCAUGGCUGCACGGCUUCAAACCAGACCUCCAGGACCCUGGGGGGGAGGAGGGGGGAGGACCUCCGGAGGAGAAAUGUCUGGACAGUAGCAGGGUGGGAAGCAGCCAGUUUCACUCCUGUCGCUUCCCAGGCUCAGGGCUCAGCCUGCCCCGGUGAGGAGCGCGCUAGGUAUUGUUUCAGCAAGCGCCCCAUGGGAGCAGCCUCAAAGGGGGAGGGAGAGCCAGGGCUGGGCACGCCGCCAGGUUCACACGAAGCCCUUAAAGGCAUCGGCUCCCUGCUCCACACCUGCUCUCAGCUGCUCCAGACCAGCGCUCCCCGGGAAACUCGGCACACGGGCCCAUGCGGCAGGACAGGAGGGUGGAAUCCUAACCUCCGCCCUGGAUCCCACGGAACCUGGCCCAGCAGCUCGGAGCAUCCCGGCCAACUCCCUCAUCUCAGGAGAGGUUUGUGUGUCUGUGUGAUCUACAGCAUCUCUAGGGCAGCCGUUCAAACCCAGUCCAAUGGGAAAUUAAUUUGGCAGGUCUCAGUCCAAUUCCCAGAGGGAGAGACCUCCCCGUCGCAGAAUCAUCCCACACAGGGAUCCUGGGUUCAUUCUCACCAUUAGACCAUGCUGCCUUCCCAAGCCAGGACUAGAACCCAGGAGUCCUGACUCCCAGCCCCCGUUCUAAACACACACACCCCAUCCCAGCCCCCACUCACUGCAUAAGAGGAACGGCCAUGUUAGCUGCUCCUAUCCCUUUCGGAGAGAGAGGCUGGUGAGGGGCAGAUUAUCUUCUGGGCUUCCGUUCAAGCCCCUUUCAGGCCAUACGGUCAUGGGAGGGAGAUGGUUUUGUGAUGGGGAGGCCCCUCCCUCGGGGAAUUAGACUGACACCCGUCAAACACCUUUCACAUUGCAGCGGGUUGGAGCGGGGCUACUAGGAGUCAGGACUCCCGGGUUGGAGGGCUGAGAGUCUGAUCUCACCGGCUCAUCUGGUCUUUGUCAGUACAGCCAGUCGGGGGCAGGGGAGGCCAGCGCUGCUCCCGCGUGCAACGGGAACAGCUUCUUUGAGCUGCGCCUGGGUGAACGGAAGCCUUGACGUUGACCGGCCAACAAGGGCAGAUCAGCUGAACCGCUGGGCGGGCAGGUCUGCGCCAGCUGCUGCACGCUCAGCGCCCCGGGGGUGGAUCUUGAGACAGCCCCUCCCUUCUGGGACCUGUGCUGGAGCUUCCCCCCACUCCCCCCGUCACUAUAAGGCCUAAAAGGGGGUUGAUUGGAAGCCACUCUCCUUGGAAGGGACGGGAGCAGGCCAUCGGUGCCUUUCCUUCCUUUUCAAGCUGUUCAGGUCAGAACAAUUCCAUUGCCAGCCCUGUCUGAAGGCACCAGCAGAGGGAAUUAACUGGCUGAUCGGGGCGGGGGGUAACAGAUAUGUAGCUGGGUCCGCACUCCCGAGGGGCUGCCCCCCCCAGGUGCCAAUCCGACAGGCUGGCGAGAGCGGCGCCCAAAGGGUUAACCUUGUGCAGGUGCAGCUUUGGCAGGACCAGGGGAAUUUUCUGCCCUCUCAGGUGGCGGGUCCCGCAGGCUCAGCACGAAAGGUUUACAAUAUUCCAGCGUGAUCAUUAAAAAUCAUCCACCUGCAGCCAGCAACGAGCAGGACCAGGAGGGACAAACGGACCCAGCAGAUGGCAUUUUGCCCUCCUCAGCCGUCAGAGCACCAUGGCCCGGCCACAGAUGGUGACCCCAGGGCAGUCAGCCUCACAGUGCAGCACCAGUGAGAGCCCCACUUGGUACACCCGGUCUACCCAGGGGCUUGUCUGCUCUGGCAGCCUGAAGCUCGUUAGUCGUUCAUUUCAGCAGUGGAAUCCCUGCUCCACCCCAGAAGUGGGCGCAUCGGGGAAACGUUGAAUGCUCAUAGCCUGAACAGCCCUGUGCACCCAAGGAGGCACCACUGGGAGUACAGGCCAUUUAAUCCAGAUAGGUUCAUUCUGGCCUAGCACCCCGCUUCAGAACCCACCGCAGGGACUCAUGAUCUUUGAACAACUGAAGCCCACCCAAGCAGGUGUACAACAUACACAUCUCGUCCUCCUUAACCCUGCUUCUGCUCCCCCAACAGCAGCCACCUGGGUCUGUGAACACGCAGGGAGAAGGGAAGAUGUAACACACCAAGGGCGGUGGGAGGCAAGAGACAGCAUGAAAUAUAGAUCUAGGCUCCGCACAGAACCCUCCACUCCCUACGUUCCAGCCAGCUUUCUGUCACCAUUUACCAGGGGCUGGGGCGGAUUCUCCAGCACAGGCAAUUUUCAAAACAAACGUGGAUGCUUUUCUAAGAGAUCUGCUCUAAGUCAAACGGGCAAGUCCUAUGGCCUGUGCCACGCUGGAGGUCAGACUAGCACAGCGGUUUUCAACCUUUUUUAUCUGCGGACCCCUAAACAAUUUCAAAUGGAGUUGCAGACCCCUUGGAAAUCUUAGACUGCCAGGAGUCUGCCGACUACAGAUUGAAAACCACUGGACGAGAUGAACACGGCGGUCUCUGCUGGCUUUGGAAUCUCUGACAGGCGGCCUUGUGGUAAAGGCAGGGGACUGGGAUUUGGGAGAUUUGGGUUCCAUUCCCAGUUUGGACACUGACUUCACGCAACCUUGGGUGAGUCAUUUCAACCCAGCUCCCUGCCUGUAAAAUGGGGCUAUGAAUCCGUCCAUUGUCUGUCUGCUCUCUUUAGAGUCAAAGCUCUUUAGGGCAGACUCUUUCCAGGUAUCAGAGGGCCUCGGAUCGGGUCAUCACGUGCUACUGUAAUACAAAUAAUACAAACCCAUCCAAUUCUUAACCAGGUAAUGACUAACCAGAAGGAACGCAGGAAACCAGCUGGGAUGCUCACAUCACAAACAUACCGAUGCAGGAGAGAAUUGCACUCAUUUUCAGCCCCAAAACUAUGUAUAUUUACAAACAAAGAGUUCUUCAAAAACCAAAUGCAGAGAGCAAUUUUACAGGAUUUCAAAAGAAAAUUCAGUAAACAAAAAAAAAGUUUGCUUGAAGAUUUAGAGAGACGUUACUGGUUUAAAAAAACAUUAUAAUAAAAACUAUGUUUCCUUCUUACAUUACCAGAAUCUGGGUUUUUUAAACUUAAAGCUUGUUUUUAAUAUAAAUCCCUCUGCACUUAUUGCCUUUGCAGGUAUUUCAGCGUGGACAAAUGGGGGGAAAAACCCACCAUAGCCAGUCAAUUUCACUCCGGUUCUAGUUAGUUUAACUUCUGGUACUUAAGUAACUCCAUAUUGCUACACUAAACUGUGAUCAGUAGAUGGAGAUACCUCAACAACUGCUAGUAACAUGGUGCCGAUUCCUUGUUUCCAGUUGCUAGACUGCAUCAACCCAUUAAAGACUUUCUUAAUCUGAAUUUGAAAUAAUGUCUGUCAAAGGGGAUACUGUAGAAUUAGAAGGUUCAGAGAAGGGCAACAAGAAUGAUCUAGGGCCUGGACACACUCUCCUAUGAGGAGAGAUUGAAAGGAUUGUUUACCUUUAGAAAGGAGACCAAUAAGAGGGGCAUAAUAAAUAUCUAUAAAAUAAUAAUUGGGAUGAAGAAGGGAAAUCAGGAGCUUCUGUUCUUCCUGUCUCAUCCCACAAGAGCCAAGGGACACUCAAAUAGAAUUAAAAGGUAGGGCAUUCAAAACCAAUAAGAGGAAACACUUUUCAAUUAGCCUGUGGAACUCACCACCACAUGAAGUUGAGACCAAAACCAGCCUGGACAUUCACAUGGAUAAAGACCAUCCAGGGCUAUAAUUUAAAUUACAACAAUAAUUCUGGAAUGGAUAUUAAACCUUGUGCUUCAGGGUUUAAGCUGAACUACUAGACAUCAGGAUGAGACCUAUGGAGGUGGAAAGUUUUUGCCCCACUGCUACUGUGGGGUUCUUUACCCUUCCUCUGCAGCCUCUGCUGCUGAUGCUACAUGGACCUCAAGGCUGACCCAGUCUGGCAAUUGAUACGUUGAGGUUAUUUUUCCAUGUUGGCUGUCGCUGCCCCGGGACAUUAGGGGAUCAUGAAGGAGGAGCUGCUUGAUGGGAUGGCACAAUGGGAACAGAGGGCCGCAUGGGGAUCUCCUCAACCCCACACUAUGAAAAGUCUGAGCGAGACAAUUCAUAGGUGCACUGAGUUUAAGGCCAGAAGGGAUCGCUGAUCAUCAUCAUUCUAGACAGACCUCCUGCAUAACCCAGGCCAGGGCGUUCCACCCAGUCACACCCGCAUCCAGCGCAACAAAUUGUAGUGGAAUAAGAGCAGAUCUUUUAGAAAGAAACAUCUAGCCUGGAUUUAAAGACUCCAAGCGAUGGAGGAUUCACUGCAUCCCUUGAUGGUGUGUUUGUGUUUGUCCUACCGAUGGACGGGCCAUUGCUGUCAGAGAGACGGCAGCAGCAAUCUCACGUGAUGCGGGUUUGCCAGAGGGCGAUCGCUGCUCUCUGCCUCAGGAAGAUCCGUGCCAGGCUGGCAUUCUUCCCCUGCCUUUCAACCCAACUCCCUCCAAGAACCGAGCGUUUCACCCAAGCCGGCCGAUUUCUCUCGCUAGCAUCCACCUACCCCUCAUGUUUUAUUUAACCAGAUAUUUCGCAUCAUAGGGGGAGGCUGGUGCAAUGGUUAGAGCGCUAGCCUGGGACUUGGGAGAUCCUGGCUCAAUUCCCUGCUCUGCCCCAGACUAACCUUGGGCAAGUCACUUAGUCUGUGCAUCAAUUUCCCCAUGCUACAGAGGGGAUGAUAGCACUUCCUUGCCUCACCAGGAGGGUUGGAGGAUAAAUAUAUUACCAGUUGUGAGGCUCUUGGAUACUAUAAUAACCGGAGCCAGAUAAGGCCCUUAGACAGAAAGCUAACGCACUUCCUUAUUGUCCAUACAUCUGUAUCCCCUCAUUUCUUCUUCGACAGCAUCAAAGAAAAAGAAGCUCAGCAGCUCUUAGUCAUUUUACGAUCAUUAAUUUUAUCUCCCGAUCCAUCAACGAGCCUUAAUGCACCUCUGCUACGGACCUAUUUUACUCCUGAGGUCUGCAAAAGCCCCGUUUUCCCUUAACCCUUUUUGGGAUUUUCUGCUCCGGCUGCCUCUCCAGAGAUCUCCUCAACCUUUCCUCAUCACUCAAGAGUCAGAGUUGAACCCUGGCGUGAUUCCAUUCUGCCUCCCUGAAAUACCCACCACAAUUC
This is a long non-coding RNA of Trachemys scripta elegans, 5923 nucleotides long. RefSeq lists it as uncharacterized. The record is from RefSeq and is a predicted model, not a curated record. Lineage: Eukaryota; Metazoa; Chordata; Testudines; Emydidae. The transcript has 3 exons.